Molecule: non-coding RNA, 335 nt
Organism: Struthio camelus australis
Lineage: Eukaryota; Metazoa; Chordata; Aves; Struthioniformes; Struthionidae
Source: RefSeq, a predicted model, not a curated record
AGUACAUCCAGGACCCAACUUGAACAUGAUCAUAGAUGCUAAUGGAACAGGAAAAUCAAGCAUUGUUUGUGCUAUCUGCCUGGGACUGGCUGAAAAACCUUCUUUUAUAGGGCAAGCUGAUAAGGUGUCUGAAUUGUAGAAUAACCCUGGUCCAGGGGCAAGAGCUUUUACCAAAGGGAUGGCCUUACUUAACUGCUUGUCGUCUUGGCUGAAUUGUAAGAUGGAAACAUCUGAAUUCUACUGGAACCUUAGUAGACUAGGUGUUACGUUUUGAAGACAUCUAGGCCUCCAUAGUGAGGUCACUGAGGAAUACAUUGAACAAGACUGGACCCAGC